UGGGGAAUAUUGCACAAUGGGCGCAAGCCUGAUGCAGCCAUGCCGCGUGUAUGAUGAAGGCCUUCGGGUUGUAAAGUACUUUCAGCGGGGAGGAAGGCGAUAAGGUUAAUAACCUUGUCGAUUGACGUUACCCGCAGAAGAAGCACCGGCUAACUCCGUGCCAGCAGCCGCGGUAAUACGGAGGGUGCAAGCGUUAAUCGGAAUUACUGGGCGUAAAGCGCACGCAGGCGGUCUGUCAAGUCGGAUGUGAAAUCCCCGGGCUCAACCUGGGAACUGCAUUCGAAACUGGCAGGCUAGAGUCUUGUAGAGGGGGGUAGAAUUCCAGGUGUAGCGGUGAAAUGCGUAGAGAUCUGGAGGAAUACCGGUGGCGAAGGCGGCCCCCUGGACAAAGACUGACGCUCAGGUGCGAAAGCGUGGGGAGCAAACA
This 427-nucleotide ribosomal RNA is filed under the name uncultured bacterium. RNAcentral describes it as "partial 16S ribosomal RNA". It matches the Rfam family "Bacterial small subunit ribosomal RNA", at positions 355 to 774 of the family's 1533-position model. The record is from RNAcentral.